RNAcentral lists this transfer RNA (73 nucleotides) under Stegodyphus mimosarum. It matches the Rfam family "tRNA". From Rfam's summary of the family: Transfer RNA (tRNA) molecules are approximately 80 nucleotides in length. Their secondary structure includes four short double-helical elements and three loops (D, anti-codon, and T loops). Further hydrogen bonds mediate the characteristic L-shaped molecular structure. tRNAs have two regions of fundamental functional importance: the anti-codon, which is responsible for specific mRNA codon recognition, and the 3' end, to which the tRNAs corresponding amino acid is attached (by aminoacyl-tRNA synthetases). tRNAs cope with the degeneracy of the genetic code in two manners: having more than one tRNA (with a specific anti-codon) for a particular amino acid; and 'wobble' base-pairing, i.e. permitting non-standard base-pairing at the 3rd anti-codon position. The record is from Rfam by way of RNAcentral. Lineage: Eukaryota; Metazoa; Arthropoda; Arachnida; Araneae; Eresidae.
GCCUUUGUGGUGCAGUGGUCAGCACGCUCGACGCGUAACCGAGAGAUCUGCGGUUCGAUUCCCGACGAAGGCG